This is a non-coding RNA of Araneus ventricosus, 73 nucleotides long. The record is from the annotation of a GenBank genome assembly. NCBI's taxonomy places the organism in Eukaryota, Metazoa, Arthropoda, Arachnida, Araneae, Araneidae.
GGGACCAUGGGGGAUCGGACCCACUACCUUCGCGUUAUUAGCACGAGGCUGUAACCAACUGAGCUAAUGGGUC